RNAcentral lists this ribosomal RNA (492 nucleotides) under Hemipsocus sp. KY-2004b. RNAcentral's name for it is "partial 16S ribosomal RNA". Lineage: Eukaryota; Metazoa; Arthropoda; Insecta; Psocodea; Hemipsocidae. The record is from RNAcentral.
GUCUUUUUGUUUAUAAUUUAAAGUCUAAUCUGCUCACUGAAUUAAUUUAAAGAGCCGCAGUAUUUUAACUGUGCAAAGGUAGCAUAAUCAAUAGUUUUUUAAUUGAAAGCUUGUAUGAAUGAUUUUAUAAGAAAUUUAUUUUCUUAAUUUUAAAAAUUGAAUUUUAAAUUUAAGUGAAAAUGCUUAAAUGAAAUUAAGGGACGAGAAGACCCUAUAGAUUUUUAUUAUUUAUAUUUAAUUAUAUAUAAUUAAUAUUAAAAUAAUUUAAUUGGGGUGAUGUUGUAAUAUAAAUAACUUAAAUUAAUUAAAACAUUAAUAAAUGAAUAUUUUGAUCUAAAAUUUUUAAUUAAAAGAUUAAAUUACCUUAGGGAUAACAGCGUAAUUUUAUUUACGAGUUCAUAUCUAUAAUAAAGAUUGCGACCUCGAUGUUGAAUUAAGAUAAAGUAUUGGAGUAGAAAUUAAUAUUAUUAGUCUGUUCGACUAUUAAAUUCU